This is a small nuclear RNA of Apodemus sylvaticus (European woodmouse), 103 nucleotides long. NCBI's taxonomy places the organism in Eukaryota, Metazoa, Chordata, Mammalia, Rodentia, Muridae. The record is from RefSeq and is a predicted model, not a curated record.
UUGCUUUGUCAGUACAUGUACUGAUAUUAGGAUAAUACAGGGAAGAUUAGCAUAGCUCUUUCACAAGGAUGAGGCACAAAAUAAUAAAGUGCUCCAUAGCGUG